This 254-nucleotide ribosomal RNA is filed under the name uncultured bacterium. RNAcentral's name for it is "partial 16S ribosomal RNA". It matches the Rfam family "Bacterial small subunit ribosomal RNA", at positions 524 to 776 of the family's 1533-position model. The record is from RNAcentral.
UACGAAGGGGGCUAGCGUUGUUCGGAAUUACUGGGCGUAAAGCGCGAGUAGGCGGCUUUGCAAGCCAGAGGUGAAAUGCCUGAGCUUAACUUGGGAAUUGCCUUUGGGACUGCGAGGCUUCGAGGACGGGAGAGGUGAGUGGAAUUCCCAGUGUAGAGGUGAAAUUCGUAGAUAUUGUGAAGAACACCGGUGGCGCAGGCGUCUCACUUGCCCGUUUAUGACUCUCAAGCGCGAAAGCGUGGGGAUCAAACAGG